GAGAUCUUAAUUUAAUGGUAGAAUACGAGACUUUUAAUCUUUGUUAUAUGGGUUCGAUUCCCAUAGAUCUUA
RNAcentral lists this transfer RNA (72 nucleotides) under Lachnellula subtilissima. It matches the Rfam family "tRNA". From Rfam's summary of the family: Transfer RNA (tRNA) molecules are approximately 80 nucleotides in length. Their secondary structure includes four short double-helical elements and three loops (D, anti-codon, and T loops). The record is from Rfam by way of RNAcentral. Lineage: Eukaryota; Fungi; Ascomycota; Leotiomycetes; Helotiales; Lachnaceae.